UAUUAGGUUGGUGCAAAAGUUAUUGCGGUUUUUGCUAUUUAUUUUAAUGAUAAAAACCACAAUUAUUUUUGUACCAACCUAAUAUUUA
This 88-nucleotide microRNA precursor is filed under the name Chlorocebus sabaeus (green monkey). RNAcentral describes it as "miRNA (ENSCSAG00000026358.1)". The record is from RNAcentral. Lineage: Eukaryota; Metazoa; Chordata; Mammalia; Primates; Cercopithecidae.